This 13579-nucleotide long non-coding RNA is filed under the name Lathyrus oleraceus (garden pea). RNAcentral describes it as "Pisum sativum (pea) long non-coding RNA (PSAT_LNC008443)". The record is from RNAcentral. Lineage: Eukaryota; Viridiplantae; Streptophyta; Magnoliopsida; Fabales; Fabaceae.
GAAUGUUAUCUAUGUGAUUGAAUCGAUGAAUCUUGUUAACGUGAUCGAUCAUGAUGCAGGAGUCAAUCGCUAAAGAGGUUAACGAAAACCCAGGGGCAGGAUGGAAGGCUGCUAUUAAUCCUCGCUUCUCCAAUUCUACGGUUUGACUUCAACUUUCUCCAAUUUUAGUCUCUGAUGUAGAUAAUUUUGUUUUAAAUUCUUUAUUUUUGUUUUAAUCCACCGAUAAUAUGUUAAUAUUGGUUUAGUCUCCACGGAGACUGUGCAAAAUUCUUUUUUUAAUUCUUAUAUAUAUAUAUAUAUAUAUAUUCAUUAAAUCUAAAAAAUCAGCUCAAGUUAAGUAUAUAUUAAUUUUUAAAAAAGUUCAUGAAAACAAAAAAUAAUAAAGAUCAAACCUAGUAUAAAAAUGACUUAAUUACAGUUUAUUCCCAAAUUAUUCUCUAUUUUAAAUUAAAAUUUAAACAAUACUUUUGUAUUUAAAAUUAAUCAUUGUUUCUAUUUUUUAAAUGAUAAUUUUUUUUGUAAAACAUGAUAAAUCAUCGAAUAUAAACCCAUGGUAGAACUUUAUGCAUAAAAAUAUUAGUUAAAACACAAACAUUUCAUCAAUUUCUAUAAAAAAUGUGAGAGGAGAGCCAAAACUGUUUAAAUUUGAGGACUAAUUUUGUGAAUCAAUUAAAAUUGGGAGACCAAAACUAUAGUUUAGCCUAUUAAAAAAACCAAAACAAAAAAAAAAGGUUUUAGUUUUAGGAUUAUUUGAAUUGACUUAUUUAAAUUUAUUCAAUAGAUAAAGCUUAUACAAACAACUUACACAUUGUUUAUAAGUUGUUGUUUCCGUUUAUUUUCAUGAGCUCUUAAAGAUAGUGUAUGAAAAUAAAUUAUAGGGGGUAAAAACAAUUUGACUUUAUUUUAUAUUUGUUACAGAAAUGAUUUAUGAGAAACGAUUAAGACUUAAAAAUCAAAUACAAAACUUAAUAGGAAAAAAGAUUAAUAUUUAAGUCUUCAUUUUGUUUUUUUAGCUUACUAUAUUUAAUUAAGUUUUCACUAAAUUAUAGUACUUUAGAGUGCAUUUCAUUUGCACAUACUUAGUUGCAUGACAUGUAUGUUUUGACUAUGAAAGGUACUGUGUUUGAUGCACAGGUUGGACAAUUUAAGCGCCUUCUUGGAGUCAAACAAACGCCUAGGAAUGAACUCAGUAGUAUACCUGUCGUAACUCAUCCAAAAUCAUUAAACUUGCCAAAGGAAUUUGAUGCAAGGACAGCUUGGCCUCAAUGUAGCACUAUUGGAAGAAUUCUAGGUAACCUACUUGCUCCUUCUCCUUACUUUUUAAAGUAUUAAUUAUAUAAUGCGUUUUCGCAGUAGGUGCUGACUCUUCUUUUUCAUUAUUGAUAAUAACAUUGAUUGCCGAACCAAUUUCCUCACUAAAGAUCAGGUAAUUCUCUAAUUAUUUCUUCAUUUUAGCGACUUUUUGUAUGUUUAGGGUUCAAUGUGGUUCUUUGACCAUUAAGUUCUUAUCUGAUCCUUGUGUUGAUUAUGAUUCAGGGUCACUGUGGUUCUUGUUGGGCAUUUGGCGCUGUUGAAUCAUUAUCAGACCGUUUUUGCAUUCAUUUUGGCGUGGUAAGUAAACUUCUUGCUUUAGUAAGUAGGGAACUUUUUCUUACAAAAAUAUGUUAGGAUUGACUUAUUUGAACUUAUCUACUAACAUAAGCACUUGUGAAACUGUUUGAGAGAAUUUAUGAAAAUAAUUUAUGACAUGUCCACUAGUUCUCCAUGAUAGCUUAUGAAAAAAACUUAAAGAUUAUAUGAAAACAAUUUCAUUUCUUUUGUUAUAGAAAUUACUUAUGUGUGUAAUUAUGUGUAAUUGUGAAUAUUUACCCAAAAUUUCUAGACCUAUCUCCCUAUGCACACACACCUACUCGAGGGACUUGACCUAUAGAAAAAACUAUAUGUUCAAUUGCAGGAUGUGCCCCUUUCUGUUAAUGACCUUCUUGCAUGUUGUGGAUUUCUUUGUGGGUCUGGCUGUGAUGGUGGGUAUCCCAUUUCUGCAUGGAAAUACUUUGCACACCAUGGUGUUGUCACUGAAGAGGUAACAACUUUUCAUUCCCUUCAGUGCUUAGAGACUAAAAUCUUAGACUCUUUCUUAUGUUCUGUAUUUUUAUUUAUUUUUUACAUGUGACAGUGUGACCCAUACUUUGAUCAAAUUGGAUGUUCUCAUCCUGGUUGUGAGCCAGGAUAUCAAACUCCCAAGUGCGUUAGAAAGUGUGUAAAGGGAAACCAGGUUUGGAAAAAGUCAAAACACUACAGUGUCAAACCAUAUAAGGUCAACUCUGAUCCCCAAAAUAUCAUGGAAGAAGUUUAUAAGAACGGGCCGGUUGAAGUUGCAUUCAGUGUUUAUGAGGUAAAUGAAAGCUUUUGACAUCUUUUUGUCGCUUCUGCAAGUAAGAUUUUGAAAGCACAUCACCAUCCUAGGCUAGUAUGCCAAGAAUUAAGAAAUGACAAGCUGCAAGCAUGAGUUGAUGUGUUCUUCCACUUUUGCUUCAUUUCUUUGGUAAAAUUGUGAGCGAUACUUGCUAAGGCCCCAUUUACUUACCAUGUUUUUCUGUUUUCAUUUUCACUACAACAAAUAAACAUUAGAGAAUAUAGAUCCAACACUUUCCUCAGCAUUUUCUUUUACAAUUUUUGAAAAUGUCAAAACAUUGUUUUUGUUGUUUCUAAAAAUGCAUUCUUCCUAGAUUCCCUUCCACCUUCUCUCCAUCAGAAUUGUUCACUACUCGAGUCUUCCAUUCCCUUGUUAGUCUUCCAUUCCCCAUGAACAUAUAUUUUAAGAAAUGAGUAUUGAAAAUGUUUCCACAAAGGAAACGGGACCUAAGUUUCCACCUUGUCACUUCAACUUCUUCUCGUUCCUUCUGUGCCAUGUUAUCCUAUAAGCUUUAUAUCUCCUUAACACAUUAGAUUUGUGCUGUAUUAAAUUCCUUUCAUUACUUUAUCUUUUCAAAAUUUUCCCAUUGUUUUCGUCACUCAUUUCAUUUUAAAUAAGGGGUCAAUUGACAUCUCUUGUGCUUUGAAGAUGCAAAUUGAUUAAAGAAUAGGAUAGAAGAUACAACUUUUAAGUUAAAAACUAGUAAUAUGAACCAGACCUUAUUGCAUAUCUUUGACUCCUUUGAUCUCUUGACAGGAUUUUGCUCACUACAAAUCAGGAGUUUACAAACACAUCACAGGUUCUGCACUAGGCGGUCACGCAGUAAAGCUGAUUGGGUGGGGAACAAGUGAUGAAGGGGAGGACUAUUGGGUAUGCUGAUAAUAUAUUAACUUGUUCCUGGUUUUUUGACAACAACAUUCUCAUAUACAUACCUUUAUUCAAAAUUUUAUAUAUACUGAUUGUGUAUUUUUCACAGCUUCUUGCAAAUCAGUGGAAUACAAAUUGGGGAGAUGUAUGUUUCUUGAAAUAUUCUUCAGCUUGAAUAGUUGUUAUUUAAGAUGUUUGCUAAUGAACCAAUUUAAUCUACUAAACUGCAGGAUGGUUACUUCAAGAUCAGGAGAGGGACAAAUGAAUGUGGGAUUGAAGAGGAUGUUACAGCCGGUUUGCCUUCUUCCAAAAAUAUUAUAAGAGAGGUGUCCGACACGGAUGUUGACGCUGACGUUUCCUUCUGAAUGUGAAUAUAGUAUUACUUUAACAGUUAGAUUUUAUGUUGGUAUUGAAAAUCUGCACCAAAUGUUGUCUGUUAUAUUUAUGUAUAUUUUAAGGGAAACGAUCUUAAUUAUGACUAUGAUGUAGGGAGACAGUAAGCUUUUGUGGUUUAUACAAUGAGAUCACAUCAAUUAAGAGGCUAACUGCCAUAUUUAUAGUACAGUCUUCUUGCAAUGCAUUGUUAGUUGAAUUUGCUGUGAAGCUUGUGGGAUCAGACUGAGCGGGAAUAGAGGAACUUGUUAAAACCGUUUAGCUGAAUUGUUCAUGUUGAAAAACUCUGCUUUUAAAAUAAAAACAAAGACGUUCAUUCUUCUAUGUUUCUUCUCCUGUUCUCCUUGUGCGUCUAUCUUCCUCUGAUGACAACACAUAGUGCAACACGCACCAUUCCUCCUUUUUUGUUUCCCUUUGUUUUGCAUGGUCCCUCUGCUUCAGUAAGAGUAACUAAAUAUUUGUUGCUAUCUUCUUUGUUAUUUUGUAUGUGUUAUUGUUGUGUAAAUGACUUAAAUAGGCUCCUCUCAUAGUGAAGUUCGAAUCCGUGGCGCAUUAAUACAUGUCGUCAUCAAUAGAGUUCUUAAAAACGCCUCUAAAAAUAGAUUUGUUCUGAUCAAUGUUUUAAAAAUUGGAUCGGAUUACUGGUUCAUUGGUCAACCACUGGGUUACUGGUCAAAUUACAUAAUUAAAUUGGAUAAUUUGGUUGAAUAAACCAAUUUUUAUUAUAAACUAUAUAGUUAUGAAACCGGUCGAACUAAAUAACUCUACGUACCUACAAAAUUUCAAAAUAUCACAAUUUUACAAAUUUAUUUUUUAAAUUUAAAUUUUAAAGAUAGGUAUCACACUCAACAAAAUAAUACAAAACUAAAUAAAUUUAGAAUAAAGUUUAAUUGCACGAAUAACAAAAUAAUUGUAGUGGUUAAUAAAUUAAAUUUAAGGAGAGAAAAUUGUUUAAAUUCUUCUUAUAUUAUAACUUUAUUUCUUAAAACAUUUAUCAAAACGACAUUGUUUUGUCUUAAGAAAAAAAUAAACAUUUAAUUCGUCAGUUUUCUAAAACUGUCGGUUCGUUGGUUUUUAUCGGUUCUGGUUGAUUCCUACUGAUUUAAUAAUUUAUCCGGUUCAACAAUCAGAUCAGAUCUGAUUCCCAGUUUGACUGGUCAGUUCGAUCUGGUUUUUAAAACACCAAUCUUAAUAUAGAAGCAUUGUUUAUGUGGUUUGAGCUUCCAUUGCUCUGCGGUUUGUGAAAGCUCAAGAAGAUGGAGUGAAAAUAUUGUAUGGAAGAAUUUAGUGGAAGAGUUUAUAAACUAAAAUAUCCUUUGAUCGGAACUCGUAAGAACUUAACUUGUAAAGUUAUCUCCAAUGAUAUUAAGAAAGAAAUAAUUAUUGCUGUUGUGGAAGGGAAAGCUAGUCCAUCCCUUUUAAAAUAAAUGGUUCCUUAAGAUUGUGUUAGAAGAGUAACAUGAAUACAGACUAGAGUAGAGAGAAAUAUACAAAAGCUUUGUACAUGCAAUUCGACUAAAUUACCUACAAUGUGAUUAUAGAGUAGUUAUAGUUCCUUUGAUUUAUGUCUUGUGAAUUGAUUAGAUUAUAGUGUUACAAGUCAUAUAUAUAAUAUCAUGAUUUAAUUUAUCUAAAACUUUAAUCCAUAGUUUUCCUCAACAAACACUUAUCUGUAUCCAUAAUUAUCUCAUCAAUAUGAAUUAUACUCUCAACAUCUUAUAGUUAUCUAAGCAACUCAUAAUUAUAUCAAUAAUAUGAGCCAUAUUCAACAAUCUUCAGCUUGACACCUCUUGCUUAAAAUUGAGAACAUGUAACAAGUCCAAGCAAUGUUUGAACUUGUCAUUGGUGACUGCCUUAGUCAACACAUCAAUUGCAUUCUCUGAAGUGUGAAUCUUCUGAAGUAAUAUCUGUCUAGACGCCAACAACUCACUGAUCUUGUGAAACCUCACAUAAACAUGCUUGGUCCUAGCACGAUACACCUGAUUGUUUUCCAAAUAGAUAACACUUUGACAAUUACAAUGCAAAUGAACUCCACAUUACUUAACACCCAACUCUUUCACUAAUCCUGUAAGCCACAAUAUUUUUUGGCAGCUGCACUUACUGCCAUGUAUGUUGUCUCAUUUGUAGACAUAGCGACUAUAGAUUGAAUUACUGAUUUCUAACAUAUAGGUCCAUCUGCAAGAGUAAAGACAUACAUUGUUGUAGAUCUUCUAUCAUCUAGAUCAUCUGCAUAAUCAAAAUCCACAUAUCCCACAACUUAUGGAACACCCUGUUACAUGGAGAACAUGAUACCACGAUCCGUUGUACCCUUCAAGUACCUUAGGAUCCACUUUACUACUUCUCAAUGUUGCUUCCCUGGCUUUAAGAGAGUUACAAACUUGUGUUAGUUGUGGAAGUGUUAUAUGAGUCUCUCAUAUAAUAUUCUCAUAAUUAACACACGUUUUCUACUAUCCCUUCUACUUUAUCCUCUUCAUAGUUUCCAGAAACGUUUAGCUAUCAAGUCCUUCCAAUCUAUGUUAGUUAAUUGAUGUUUUUGUUAAUAACUGUUAUUAGUGAGUUUGUUAUAUCAUAUGUGAUUGCUUGUUUCACUAACCCCUCAUUGAACUUACAUUCAUUUAAAUAUAUUUUUGAGAUGAUAAUUUAAAAAGUUAAAUUAUUACUGAAAAUCAACUUAGAUGAUCCAAUAUUUUCGAAUUGCAUGUAUUUUGUAAUUUAUGAGUUCCUCUCUAGCCUAUAGAAUUUGAUCCAAUGUCACAAAUUCUUCAAAAUAAUGAUAAUAAAUGGAUGACAUUCAUCAUCAUUACUUUGAAGAAUUUGGGAUUGAAUCAAAUUAUAUGGGUUAAUGAGGAAAUCAUGAAUUAUAAGAUGCAUGCAAUUCGAAAAAUAUUAUACCGUUUAAGUUGUUUUUCAAGAAUAAUUUAAUUUUCUGAUUAUUAUCUCAUAAAUCUAUUUGAAUGGUUGUAUGUGGUUAAUGAGUGGUAGGGAAAAACAAGAAAUCUCAUAUUUAAUAAUCAACUCUUACACAUACCACCACAGUUGGAACAUAAAACCGUGGUGAAAUGUUAUUUUUUAUGCGUUUUAAUUUGUUUGCAGCUUGGUAUCGAACUCGUGAUUUUAUAUUUAUGAAACGGUUGUUUAAGUUAACUGUUGUGAUAGAUAACGUGUUACAUAAUUUAUUACAACGGUUGCACGCUCGUGAUUGAAAACAUCGAGCUCACACCCACAUCCUACUUCACCAUAGUUGGUCAGGCGUGAUGAUAUUUCUUUUUCAACAAUGAUGGAUUUUUCCAUAAUAGUGAGUGUUGUGAUGAAAAAAAAAAUGAAUAUACUAACAUAAUUAUUAUGUUUGUUUAAUACGGUAAUGUGUGUGAGCAUUAAUGUCUUUGUAUGACUAUUUGUCCAUCUUCCCAAUUUUUUUGUUAUUAUUUUUAAAUUUUUAUAUAGUUUUAUCAUGCUUAGUUAGUAUGUAUCUACUGUGUUGGUUUUUAAGUAUGUUCUUUAAACAAACGCGUGUCCAAUACGAUAAAACACACAAAAACAUAUCUCGUACAUAGACACGAGUUUGUUCAAAAUGAUCUUCGUUUUUCUUAUAAUAAUAUUUUUUUAAAUAAUAACUAUAGAAAUAUAUGUUGUUAAUAUUUAAAUUUUUUUCAAAAUUCCAUAUUUAUUUCAAGUUUGUUACCUAGUUAUGAAAAUUAUAACUAAAAUGGAUAGUUGUGAGUUAAAGAUAAUAAAAAUUAAUAAUUUUUUUCCUAUUAUGAAAAUAAAUAUUUAUCGACAAUAUUUUUAAAAGUGUACAAAUGCGCGUAUUAUUACUAUUUCAUCUUCUAUAUGCGGGAAAGAUAUACUACUAAUUGUUCCAUAAUUAAUUUUAUCCAAAUAGUCAUUGGAACAAAUUUAGAUAUCUAUUAAUUAAAACACAAUUUUCAUACUCAUACAAUUUUCAUAUCCAUACAAUCUUUAUUAAUGCAUACUUUAACUAUACAUCCCUCGUAGAUAUAAAUUAUGGAGUGAUUCAAUAAAAUUUUAAUAAAUUUUGCUUGCUCAUAUGGUGGAUGAAAUACAAUUCUGUAAAGCUCUUAGAUCUCUCCGAAACUUUAUUUAUUUAUUCAUUCAUUUUACAUAGUUUAGUUUUUAAAUUCAAAAUUUACAAACUCAAACUUAAAAACGUUGAGACUAUUGAAUGACAUUUGAUGUCGCACUAAUCCCUGUGGAGACGAUAAAAUAGAAUACUUACUUUUCCUUGUUGCUUUACCGGAUCAACAACAACCAUGGAGAUAGGUUAUAAAUUAUGAGAAGAGCAUGCCAUGGCGUAUGGUUAGUACUACCAAAAGGCAUCAUUCCAUCGGUGACAAGUCCAAGCCUAAGGUUCUUCGGUUCUAGUGCAAAAUUUGGAAAUAAGGAAUCGAUUUUAUUCCAUUGCAAUGAAUCAGCUACAUGGCGAAUGUUUCCAUCACACACUCUUUCAUCUGCAUGCCAUCUAGUAUUCUUUGCAUCAUUUGAAUUAACAAACAAUCUCUUGAACAUUUGAAUUACCAGUAGGUACCACAUCACCUUGGAAGAAACACCAUUUCUAGUUACACUAUCAUCGUCUUCAACACCAUCAACCUUCUUCUUUAGCGUGACUCCCCACAUCUUGGACACUCCUUCAAGUUUUCAUAUUCUUUCCUAUAUAAUAUGCAAUCAUUACGACAUGCAUGUAUUUUGACAUAAUCCAAACUCAUUGGACACAAUAUAUUUUUGGCCUCAUAACUACAGUUCGACAACGUGUUACCUUCUGGAAGCAUUUCUUGCAACAAUUAUAGCAAAUCAGUGAUACUUUUAUCCGUCCAUCCAUCUCUUGCCUUAAGAUUAAUAGUCUUAACACAACCGACAAUCUCGUAAAACUUUUGCAUCCCGGAUACAACGACUCUUCCAUAUCUUUUUGCAAAGUAUCUACCACAUUAGCAUUCUUGAAAACAUUUACCCUAAUAUCAUUCAUAGAUUCAGCAUCAUAUUCAACGGUAAGUGACAUAGGUCUUUUUUUUGUCACUUCACCAUGCCAUACCCAUUUUAUGUAAUUUUGAAAAAAAUUCCAUCAUAACCUAAAUGAUUGAAUAUUUCAUCCCUUGGAUAUUUGCGCAUAUUUCGGAAAAUUUUACAAGGCACCAAAAAAUCCACUUCUCCUUAGGAAGAUUUUUUUCCUCGUAAAAUCAAGAAAUUGAAUCACUCAAUUCUCACACUCUUUAUUUAAUCUAUUGACUUUCAUCCAACUACGAUCCAUAAUCACAUACAACUUCUGAAAAUAAAAUAAAACAGUACACAUAUAAAUCUCAAAAACAUUAUAGUAAACAAUAUAAAUCUCAAAAACCAUAAUAAUAACAACAACAAACACAUAUGACAACAACAUCAAUGGACAGAACAACAACAACAACAACGAUGACCUACGACUACAACAUCAACGACAAAAAUAAUAACAACAGUAAUGAAGAAUUUGUACAUGCUAGAAAUGUGAUGAGAGACUCAACGAAGAAGAAUUCGAGCUUGCUUCCUCCUCGGAGAAGAAGGGUGGUGGUUAUGAGUAUUGAGAAACUCCUUCGUUUGUCGGAGAAGAAUGAGUUCCUUUCGAUCGCUAGGGCAUAAAAAGUGAAUGAGACAAAAUAUUAUAAUUCUGAAGGAAUAACAAUUGUUUUUAGCGUUUUUAUCUCGGUUUUCUUCAACAACCGAGAGAUAAUAUCCGACGUAAAAUAUAUAAAAAAUAAAUGCGCCUUUUUAAUUGUAAAUAAAACAUAAAAUUGCAGGAAUUAGGAACCGAGGGAACAACAUUUUACGUCAAUUUUCCUAGAAAACCGAGGUAACAAAUAAAGUUUCUUAAAAUAAAAAUAAUAUUUAGCGCAUUCCAGGUUAUUUGACUUCAAUUUUUCAAUAACUGAGGUGAAAGUUUCAUAAUGAAAUAUAGUAUUUGUAGUGCAUACUCGAUCCCCUAUGGUGCUUCAAAGAACAACAUUAAAUGGCUUAGUAUAAAUAUAUUGCAAAAUCACAUCUCUAUGCAAAUAAACUUCUACUUUACUCAUGUAAACAACCAUCUUCCUCACUAUACCAUGACUUAGAUUUUAAAAGCGAAGAACUUUGCCACCAAACGCUACUAAAUGUUAAGGACAUACUUAAUGCUAUAGAUAUGAGAAAAAUUUGACCCCACAAAAUGCAGAUAAUUAGGAAGGCUCAUGGACGAUUAAUUUUCAUAAUCAAUCAAUGAUCAUAAAUAAUUUAUAUGUUAUAAUCGAAUUUCAUUUUUGUAAAAUUGUUAUAAAUACGGUUAUAUCCAUAAUCAAAUUUAUAAUUAGUUUUGAUUUAAAUUUUUUAAAAUUAUUUUUUGCAAGAUUUUUUUACAGAAAAUUAUUUAUUUUCAAAAAGAAAUUGUUUUUUUAAAUAUGUUUUAUUUAAAAAAAAUCAUUUUUUAUACUUUUAAAAAAAAAUCAAUUUUAUUUUAUUUAAUGAAGAUUUAAAAAAAAAAUUUAUUUUCCCAAAAUUAAAAAAAUAAAUAAUUUUUUUUUAAAAGAAAUUCUUUUAUUUUUUAAAAUAGACUAAUUUAUUUUUUAUUUUAGAUAUGGAUUUAGUUAAAAUCAUAUUAAUAACAUAUCCAAAAUGUUGAUUUGGUUAAAAUCAUUCCUAAUAACUAAUCGAUUUUUAAUAACCAAAUUCAAAUAUGUAUAUGAAUAAUUUAAAUAAGUAAUUAAUUUGAACAUCCCUACUAUGGAGUACCUCGCAGGGGUGUCUUGGCAAGAAUAUUUUGUUGAUGGGGAGCCAAGGGUCACAUUCAAACACUUAUAAAUGACAACUUAAUUAUUUUUUACUACUUUUAUAAUAAAGUAUUUUAAUUCUUUUUAGAGAUUAAUUAUUAUACACAGUGUAAAAAAUUUUAUAUUGUCGAUUCAUCACCAUCAUCCAUUUGUAUUACUUUAUAAAUUUUUAAAAUAAAAGUCAAACUUAUUUCAACAUCCAAUGCUUGAGAUUAACUGAUGAUGUAAAAUCCUUUUACACUGUCCGUGUAUUUCAAUUAAAUUCUUCUUUUUAUAAUCAACUUAAAAUUAAUGUUAAUAACUAUGCAAUAGUUAUUAUACUAUUCUAUAAACGUUAUAUUAAUCAUUCAAAUGUUCAAAACUAUACACUAGUCCUUUUAUUAUUAUUAUUAUUAUUAAUAAUAAUAAUAGUAAUAAUAAUAAUAAUAAAAAUAAUAAAUGUUGUUACUACUUUAAAAAACAAUACAUGAUAACAGUGUAUAUGAUCAAUGAGUUAUAGAUAAGAGAGUAAAUGAUUGUUAUUUGUUAUAAUGACAUAUUGUUAAACUUAUGUCAUAUAACAACAAUAAUAAUAACGAUUAACUUAAUUUAUUUAUCACACCAUAUGUGCAGUGCACGUUUAUACAACCGAUAUGCCAAGAUAAUUACUCCAUCUUAGGACCCAAAAAAUGAUAACUAAUAAAUUGAUUAAUCAGUUUCCUUUUCAUUCUAUCAUCAAAAUGACUCCAACAAUUCUACCCCUGGCUACAUUAUUUUUAGCCUUCUCCACGCCUUAUCUAUGGGUACCUUUUUCUACUCUAACUUUGAUUUCUACUUAAAUUGCUAUUUUGAACUUACUGCAACUUUGUUGACAGAUAGCUGAAUCAGAAGAAACAUAUCAACUUCCUCAACUCAACCUUAAUUCUCACAUCCUUCAGGUGUAAUUAAAUCUCUUUGUUUCAAUUUCAAUAUACGGUUCAUCUCAUGUUGCUAAAGUUAUUAGUCAUCAUGCAGGAGUCUAUUGCUAACCAGAUUAGCAACAAUCCAGGGGCAGGUUGGGAGGCUGCUAUUAAUCCUCGUUUCUUCAAUUUUACGGUUACACUUCAACUUCCCUCAGAUAUAAUACUCUUUAAUUAAUUGAUGUUUAAGUUUUUACUUAUUAAUUACCCUUCAAACUGCAUUUCAUUUGCACAUUGUGUAUCUGGUUUCACGGAGCACUCAUAAUUGAUUCUGGAUGUGUAGAAUUGAUUCUGAUAUAUUUGGUUGCUCUCGAAUAGUAUACUGAUUUUGAUUUCUAGAAUUGAUUCUACUUGAAGUUAUAAUUUGUAGUUUUUGAGUUUAAAUAUAUGAAACUUACUGAUCAACUCACUUUUAAUCUGAAUCAAUUUUACAUCAUUGCAUGAUACGAAUUGAGUGUUGAGUAUGCAAGGCUUUGUGUUUGAUGUAUAUAGGUUGGACAAUUUAAGCGCCUUCUUGGAGUCAAACAAACACCUAGGAAUGAAUUGAGUAGUAUACCCAUUGUAACUCAUCCAAAAUCAUUAAACUUGCCAAAGGAAUUUGAUGCAAGGACAGCUUGGUCCCAAUGUAGCACCAUUGGAAGAAUUCUAGGUCAUUUACUAGCUCUUCUCCUUUCUUUUUUCUUAAUAUGAUUAAACAUUGCAUUUUCCAAUAGGUGCUGAUUCUUCUUUUUGGCUAUUAACAUUAACAUGGAUUGCUGAACCGAUUCCCUCACUAAAGAUCAGGGUCACUGUGGUUCUUGUUGGGCAUUUGGUGCCGUUGAAUCUUUAUCAGAUCGUUUUUGCAUUCAUUUUGACAUGGUAAGUAAACUUCUUGCAGAAGCAAUUAGGAUUUCUUUUUCAUACUUAUUGUGUGUAAUUGUGAAUAUUCAUUUUUCUGUGUAACUUUGUAAACCUCUUUAUCUCUAUGCACACACCUACUUGAGGGUCUUGCCUCUUAAAAGAGGAACUAACUGUUGAUAUAUGCCUCGUAGUUUACUUGCGAGAGUAUUUAAACACAAGCUGUAAUCUGUAAGCCUAGGCUUCAAUUCUAGAAAGGCACUGCAACCACUCUGCAGUCAGAAACGUAGGCAAAACUGGCCGAAUUCUAUGAUCAAAUAUUGUGUUUUCUUUGUUUGCGGCUUUCGUAUCUAUUUUUUUAAGCUAAGUUGUUUGUUCUAACACAAACAUUCUAUAUGUUGAAACGAAGAAUGUAUCCCUCUCUGUUAAUGACAUUCUUGCAUGCUGUGGCCUUCUUUGUGGGGCUGGCUGUGCUGGCGGUACUCCCUUUUCUGCAUGGAUAUACUUAGCUAACCAUGGUGUUGUCACCGAAGAGGUAACCGAUUCUCUUUCCCUUCAUUGCUUAGGGACUAAAAUCCUAGGCUCUUUCUUAUGAUCGGUAUUCUUUUGUCAUAUGUGCUAGUGUGAUCCAUACUUUGAUCAAAUUGGAUGUUCUCAUCCUGGUUGUGACCCAGUAUAUCGAACUCCCAAGUGCGUUAAAAAGUGUGUAAAUGGGAACCAGCUUUGGGAGGAGUCAAAGCACUAUAGUGUCAAAGCAUAUAGGGUCAACCCCGACCCCCAUGAUAUUAUGGCCGAAGUUUAUAAGAACGGACCGGUUGAAGUUUCAUUCACUGUUUAUGAGGUAUAUUAAAGCUUUUGACAAUCUUUUUGCACUUUCUAAGGUCAACUCUAAAGACAAUGUUGUCAAUGAUUCAAUGACCUUUCAAUUCACAAAAAAUAUUUCAGACCGUUCUCCCAUCCUUUUGCAUACCUUUGAUCUCUUGACAGGAUUUUGCUCUCUACAAAUCAGGAGUUUACAAACACAUGAUAGGUUCUGCACUAGGCGGUCAUGCAGCAAAGCUGAUUGGGUGGGGAACAAGUGACGAAGGGGAGGACUAUUGGGUAUGUUGACAAUAUAUAAACUUGUUCCUGAAUUUAGACAACAACAUUUUCAAAUACACGCUUUUAUUCAGAAUUCGAUGCAUACUGAUAGUGUAUUUUUCACUGCUCAGCUUCUUGCAAAUCAGUGGAAUACAAAUUGGGGAGAUGUAUGUUUCUUGAAUUACUUUUGAGCUUGAAUAGUUGCUACUUAAGACAUGUAUUUGCUAACGAGUUAAUUUAAUCUACUAAAUUGUAGGACGGUUACUUCAAGA